This 473-nucleotide ribosomal RNA is filed under the name uncultured Magnetococcus sp. RNAcentral's name for it is "bacterial SSU rRNA". It matches the Rfam family "Bacterial small subunit ribosomal RNA", at positions 79 to 587 of the family's 1533-position model. Lineage: Bacteria; Pseudomonadati; Pseudomonadota; Magnetococcia; Magnetococcales; Magnetococcaceae. The record is from RNAcentral.
UUCGGGAUGCCGACGAGUGGCAAACGGGUGAGUAACGCGUGGAUACCUGCCCUGUGGUGGGGAAUAACGUCUAGAAAUGGGCGCUAAUACCGCAUAAGCUCUGCGGAGGAAAGAUUUAUCGCCAUGGGAGGGGUCCGCGUCGGAUUAGCUAGUUGGUGGGGUAACGGCCUACCAAGGCGACGAUCCGUAGCUGGUCUGAGAGGAUGAUCAGCCACACUGGGACUGAGACACGGCCCAGACUCCUACGGGAGGCAGCAGUGGGGAAUAUUGCGCAAUGGGGGAAACCCUGACGCAGCGACGCCGCGUGGGUGAAGAAGGCCUUAGGGUUGUAAAGCCCUUUCAGUGGGAAAGAUGAUGACGGUACCCACAGAAGAAGCUCCGGCUAACUCCGUGCCAGCAGCCGCGGUAAUACGGAGGGGGCCAGCGUUGUUCGGAAUUACUGGGCGUAAAGGGCGCGUAGGCGGUUGAUCAAG